AUACAUGGGGGGCAAGCGUUAUCCGGAAUUAUUGGGCGUAAAGGGUGCGUAGGCGGUCUAUUAAGUCUGAGGUGUAAGUGCAGGGCUCAACCCUGUGAUGCUUUAGAAACUGGUAGACUUGAGUGAGAUAGAGGCAAGUGGAAUUCCAUGUGUAGCGGUAAAAUGCGUAAAUAUAUGGAGGAACACCAGUGGCGAAGGCGGCUUGCUGGGUCUAUACUGACGCUGAGGCACGAAAGCGUGGGGAGCAAACAGGAUUAGAUACCCUGGUAGUCCACGCCGUAAACGAUGAGUACUAAGUGUUGCGAGAACGCAGUGCUGAAGUUAACAUAUUAAGUACUCCGCCUGAGUAGUACGUACGCAAGUAUGAAACUCAAAUGAAUUGGCGGGG
This 388-nucleotide ribosomal RNA is filed under the name uncultured bacterium. RNAcentral's name for it is "partial 16S ribosomal RNA". It matches the Rfam family "Bacterial small subunit ribosomal RNA", at positions 523 to 918 of the family's 1533-position model. The record is from RNAcentral.